AAAUCAAUCAGCCUCAUAAAAAUUGGGCCACCAGCCCAAAAUGACACCCCUUUCUCUUCUCCCUUGACCCAACCCAUCAGCCCAACAAGCUGAAAUCGAACCGGACCAUACCCUUUUUCCUCUGUUCCCAUUUUACCCGUACCAAUCCAACACCAGUAGCCAACAACACUCCAAAACGUGAUAACAAACACCGACAACUCCAACGUUAACAGCUAACAACACUGCUUGCAAGCAGUGUACAAACACCAACAACAAAACAGCGAUGGUACCACCUUCAACCCGUCGACAACGACGAACUCGGUGACCCAAAAUCUGAACCCGUCGAGUCAGCAAUCGACGACCCAACCAGCUCAACCAGAAAUGCCAACAACCCCAACCACCCGUCCAGCUCAGCAAUAACGUUCAGAUUCUGUAUAAAUUCCAGCUCUUCUUAUCUCAAUUUUGAAAUUCAAAUUUCUAACUCUUUUUCCCUUUUUACCCCUCCAUUCCCCCUAAAAUCAGUCUCAAAUCUCCGGAAGGAGCAUUCCUCUAAUCCCACGUAACCAAAGAAUUCGAGAAGAAACAUAUUUGGAAAAUCAAUUCCGAGGAAACGAAAAAAAGAAGAAAAGUGAAAAUUCCAACAAAAAUUACUUCGGAUUCCGGCGAAAUUAUUUAAUUCCAGCGAAAUUAACUGAACUCCGGUGUUAAAGUCCAUUUUAAAGAGCUCGUCCGUCUCAGUUCCUGCCCCCGAAAAGAGUUCGAUAGGACUCCCAUUCCUUCGCAUUCGCUGUUCGUCGAGUCGAGCCUCAUUAAAGUCCAAAUUUGGACGGAUAUACACAGGAUCACACAAGUAUCCAAGAUGGUAUACAAUGAUAUACAGCGGGUAUCCAUUGAAAGUCGUAGCUGCAUACCAUCAUACAGUGUACAAUUAAAAAUGGAGAGAGAAUAUGCUUAUUUCUACGUUGAUAUACAGUAUAUACGUGGAAAUAUACCGAAAAAUGCAAGGAUGAAGGGCUGUGAUAUACCGUCAGUAUACAGCUAGGUAUACACUGCAGAAAUGGACCAAAAGUCCAUAAAGAAUGGACCUAAAAGCUGGGCAGCUUUAUUGAUGGGCCAAUUAAAGGCCCAAAUUUUAAUUCUUCUUAUUCAUUUCCUUGUAAAUCCUAUUUUAUUAUGUGCUUGUAUUAAUUAUUAAUUUGGUUAGCCUUUAUAAAUCCUCUUUUGAAUCA
This is a long non-coding RNA of Capsicum annuum, 1208 nucleotides long. RefSeq lists it as uncharacterized. Lineage: Eukaryota; Viridiplantae; Streptophyta; Magnoliopsida; Solanales; Solanaceae. The record is from RefSeq and is a predicted model, not a curated record. The transcript has 2 exons.